Unclassified non-coding RNA from Macaca fascicularis (crab-eating macaque), 148 nucleotides. It matches the Rfam family "Metazoan signal recognition particle RNA". Rfam says of the family: The signal recognition particle (SRP) is a universally conserved ribonucleoprotein. It is involved in the co-translational targeting of proteins to membranes. Lineage: Eukaryota; Metazoa; Chordata; Mammalia; Primates; Cercopithecidae. The record is from Ensembl.
GCCAGGUGUGGUGGCGCAUGCCUGUAAUCCCAGCUACUUGGGAAGCUGAGGCAGGAGAAUUGCUUGAACCUGGGAGGCUGAGGUUGCAGUGAGCCGAGAUGGCACCACUGUACUCCAGCCUGGGUGACAGAGCAAGACUCUGUCUCAA